AUCUACAGCCAUACUACCCUGAAUACACCUGAUCUCGGAAGCUAAACAGGGGCCUGGCUAGUACUUGGAUGGAAGAGGAAGAGAGAAAGGUAGAUACCUGCAGAAC
This is a ribosomal RNA of Erinaceus europaeus (western European hedgehog), 106 nucleotides long. NCBI's taxonomy places the organism in Eukaryota, Metazoa, Chordata, Mammalia, Eulipotyphla, Erinaceidae. The record is from Ensembl.